AAUAUAAUUGUUAGGUGGUAUGGUGGUUGCAUAUUUUGUUUUUCAAAGAGCUGCCAAAUUUUUCCCAGAGUAGCUGUAGCAUUUCCCAUUUCCAUCAACAAU
This 102-nucleotide microRNA precursor is filed under the name Marmota monax (woodchuck). The record is from RNAcentral. Lineage: Eukaryota; Metazoa; Chordata; Mammalia; Rodentia; Sciuridae.